Non-coding RNA from Pteropus alecto (black flying fox), 119 nucleotides. Lineage: Eukaryota; Metazoa; Chordata; Mammalia; Chiroptera; Pteropodidae. The record is from Rfam.
GUCUACAGCCAUGCCAUCCUGAACCUGCCGGAUCUCAGCUGAUCUUGGAAGCUAAGCAGGGUCUGGCCUGGUUAGUACUUGGAUGGGAAACCACCUAGGAAUACUAAGUGCUGUAGGCA